This 353-nucleotide RNase P RNA is filed under the name Eggerthellaceae bacterium. RNAcentral's name for it is "RNase P RNA component class A". It matches the Rfam family "Bacterial RNase P class A". Rfam says of the family: Ribonuclease P (RNase P) is a ubiquitous endoribonuclease, found in archaea, bacteria and eukarya as well as chloroplasts and mitochondria. Its best characterised activity is the generation of mature 5'-ends of tRNAs by cleaving the 5'-leader elements of precursor-tRNAs. Lineage: Bacteria; Bacillati; Actinomycetota; Coriobacteriia; Eggerthellales; Eggerthellaceae. The record is from RNAcentral.
CGAGCGGGCCGGACGACCGCGGGCCCUACCAGGCAUGAGGAAAGUCCGGGCUUCAAAGGGCAGGAUGCCAGCUAACGGCUGGACGGGGCAACUCGAUGGAAAGUGCCACAGAAAAGAAGACUCCCCCGCCGCUGCGGUGACGGGAGAAAAGCUGAAACGGUGCGGUAAGAGCGCACCAGCGGCGCGGUAACGCGUCGGCUUGGUAAACCCCAUCCGAAGCAAGCGCAAAUAGGAACGCCAUACGGCCGCCCUUCCGUGCGUUCGGGUUGCGUGCUAGAGGCCUGUGGCGACACAGGCAGUAGAUAGAUGGUCGUCUUCAAAGACAGAACCCGGCUUACAGGCCCGCUCUUCAU